This 502-nucleotide ribosomal RNA is filed under the name uncultured bacterium. Its description in RNAcentral is "partial 16S ribosomal RNA". It matches the Rfam family "Bacterial small subunit ribosomal RNA", at positions 30 to 523 of the family's 1533-position model. The record is from RNAcentral.
AUUGAACGCUGGCGGCAUGCCUUACACAUGCAAGUCGAACGGCAGCAUAGGAGCUUGCUCCUGAUGGCGAGUGGCGAACGGGUGAGUAAUAUAUCGGAACGUGCCCUAGAGUGGGGGAUAACUAGUCGAAAGACUAGCUAAUACCGCAUACGAUCUACGGAUGAAAGUGGGGGAUCGCAAGACCCCAUGCUCCUGGAGCGGCCGAUAUCCGAUUAGCUAGUUGGUGGGGUAAAAGCCUACCAAGGCAACGAUCAGUAGCUGGUCUGAGAGGACGACCAGCCACACUGGGACUGAGACACGGCCCAGACUCCUACGGGAGGCAGCAGUGGGGAAUUUUGGACAAUGGGGGCAACCCUGAUCCAGCAAUGCCGCGUGAGUGAAGAAGGCCUUCGGGUUGUAAAGCUCUUUUGUCAGGGAAGAAACGGUAGUAGCGAAUAACUACUACUAAUGACGGUACCUGAAGAAUAAGCACCGGCUAACUACGUGCCAGCCGCCGCAGUAA